RNAcentral lists this ribosomal RNA (497 nucleotides) under uncultured bacterium. RNAcentral describes it as "partial 16S ribosomal RNA". It matches the Rfam family "Bacterial small subunit ribosomal RNA", at positions 28 to 507 of the family's 1533-position model. The record is from RNAcentral.
GAUGAACGCUGGCGGCGUGCCUAAUACAUGCAAGUCGAGCGAACAGACGAGGAGCUUGCUCCUCUGACGUUAGCGGCGGACGGGUGAGUAACACGUGGAUAACCUACCUAUAAGACUGGGAUAACUUCGGGAAACCGGAGCUAAUACCGGAUAAUAUAUUGAACCGCAUGGUUCAAUAGUGAAAGACGGUUUUGCUGUCACUUAUAGAUGGAUCCGCGCCGCAUUAGCUAGUUGGUAAGGUAACGGCUUACCAAGGCAACGAUGCGUAGCCGACCUGAGAGGGUGAUCGGCCACACAGGAACUGAGACACGGUCCAGACUCCGACGGGAGGCAGCAGUAGGUAAUCUUCCGCAAUGGGCGAAAUCCUGACGGAGCAACGCCGCGUGAGUGAUGAAGGUCUUCGGAUCGUAAAACUCUGUUAUGAGGGAAGAACAAAUGUGUAAGUAACUAUGCACGUCUUGACGGUACCUAAUCAGAAAGCCACGGCUAACUACGUG